GCCAGAACCAAAGCCGCGAUACUCCCCACGAACCAGGAUGCCAGAUUCAUUCGUUUCUGCGCGUCCACAUCUGGGAGUGGGCUAAGGUCUGAGAAUUCUAAUCUCCCUCGAUCGACUCUAGCCGGGUCCGACGUACAACAGUCGCAACGACGUACAAGCAAACGCCUCCCGAAUUCAUUCCUUUGUUGCCUGGAGAUCGUGUUCCGACACGGGAGGGCCUUGAAUGGAAACGGGAUUGGAAUCGUCGUGGAGAUCGAGGUCAUCAAAGUGGCACCUCCAAUGUAGGAGGCGCAGAUCCUGAUGACCUCUUUAGUGCACUUCGCGGCUCGUCUUGUUCGCAAGAAUGAGACGAAACUCGAUUCAGACUACUCUGGUUCUGGC
This 381-nucleotide RNase P RNA is filed under the name Serendipita vermifera MAFF 305830. RNAcentral's name for it is "Nuclear RNase P". It matches the Rfam family "Nuclear RNase P". From Rfam's summary of the family: Ribonuclease P (RNase P) is a ubiquitous endoribonuclease, found in archaea, bacteria and eukarya as well as chloroplasts and mitochondria. Its best characterised activity is the generation of mature 5'-ends of tRNAs by cleaving the 5'-leader elements of precursor-tRNAs. The record is from Rfam by way of RNAcentral. Lineage: Eukaryota; Fungi; Basidiomycota; Agaricomycetes; Sebacinales; Serendipitaceae.